GCGUGCGGGAUGAAGGCCUUCGGGUUGUAAACCGCUUUCAGCAGGGACGAGGCGAAAGUGACGGUACCUGCAGAAGAAGCCCCGGCUAACUACGUGCCAGCAGCCGCGGUAAUACGUAGGGGGCAAGCGUUAUCCGGAUUCAUUGGGCGUAAAGCGCGCGUAGGCUGCCCAGUAGGUCGAGAGUUAAAUCCGGGGGCUCAACCCCCGUCCGCUCCCGAUACCGCUGGGAUUCGAGUCUGGUAGGGGAAGGUGGAAUUCCCAGUGUAGCGGUGGAAUGCGCAGAUAUUGGGAAGAACACCGGUGGCGAAGGCGGCCUUCUGGGCCAUGACUGACGCUGAGGCGCGAAAGCUAGGGGAGCGAACAGGAUUAGAUACCCUGGUAGUCCUAGCCGUAAACGAUGGGCACUAGGUGUGGGGAGGCUUUACUUUCCGUGCCGACGCUAACGCAUUAAGUGCCCCGCCUGGGGAGUACGGCCGCAAGGCUAAAACUCAAAGGAAUUGACGGGGGCCCGCACAAGCAGCGGAGCAUGUGGCUUAAUUCGAAGCAACGCGAAGAACCUUACCAGG
RNAcentral lists this ribosomal RNA (566 nucleotides) under Atopobium sp. oral taxon 416. Its description in RNAcentral is "bacterial SSU rRNA". It matches the Rfam family "Bacterial small subunit ribosomal RNA", at positions 399 to 978 of the family's 1533-position model. The record is from RNAcentral. Lineage: Bacteria; Bacillati; Actinomycetota; Coriobacteriia; Coriobacteriales; Atopobiaceae.